GGGGUUUUCAAUUUGGGAUUUGAAGUAGAGAAUCUCCAGAUUGUUUGAUGGUUCUGCGAUGGAGCAUGUGAUCGGAGGCAAGUAUAAGUUGGGGAGGAAGAUCGGGAGUGGAUCCUUCGGCGAGAUCUAUGUCGGCGUCAAUAUACAGAGUGGAGAGGAAGUGGGCAUCAAAUUGGAAUCUGUGAAGACAAAGCAUCCUCAACU
This 204-nucleotide unclassified non-coding RNA is filed under the name Hevea brasiliensis (rubber tree). Lineage: Eukaryota; Viridiplantae; Streptophyta; Magnoliopsida; Malpighiales; Euphorbiaceae. The record is from RNAcentral.